CUUAUAAUUGUAAAUACCUUGGACCUAUAGUUUAAGAAAUUAUAUAUACCUGUUAUCAGACGUUUUCUCUCUACCAUCGACAAUCGAAAAGCUAGAGUCUUUUUCAUCAAUUUCAUCUUCCUUCUUCUCUCCUUGUGGUUCUGGUGGUAAAACGUCAUCUUUAUUUUUCUCUCCUUGUGAUUUUGAAGCGGUUAUAAAAUAAACAUAUAAAAAAUUAGAUGCCUUACGAAAAGGAAAGAAAGCCACAAUGCUAUAAGUAAUGGGUAAUUGCGCCAAAGUGAUUUAACCAUACCCCUUGGAUUUGCUUAUACUUUAGUAAAUUCAUUUCCACCACAGAAAAUAGAUGCAGGUCACAGAGUAGUUUGCG
Molecule: non-coding RNA, 367 nt
Organism: Paramuricea clavata
Lineage: Eukaryota; Metazoa; Cnidaria; Anthozoa; Malacalcyonacea; Plexauridae
Source: the annotation of a GenBank genome assembly